This 1285-nucleotide ribosomal RNA is filed under the name Salmonella enterica subsp. enterica serovar Agona str. 392869-1. RNAcentral's name for it is "bacterial LSU rRNA". It matches the Rfam family "Bacterial large subunit ribosomal RNA", at positions 1 to 1323 of the family's 2925-position model. Lineage: Bacteria; Pseudomonadati; Pseudomonadota; Gammaproteobacteria; Enterobacterales; Enterobacteriaceae. The record is from RNAcentral.
GGUUAAGCGACUAAGCGUACACGGUGGAUGCCCUGGCAGUCAGAGGCGAUGAAGGGCGUGCUAAUCUGCGAUAAGCGCCGGUAAGGUGAUAUGAACCGUUAUAACCGGCGAUACCCGAAUGGGGAAACCCAGUGUGACUCGUCACACUAUCAUUAACUGAAUCCAUAGGUUAAUGAGGCGAACCGGGGGAACUGAAACAUCUAAGUACCCCGAGGAAAAGAAAUCAACCGAGAUUCCCCCAGUAGCGGCGAGCGAACGGGGAGGAGCCCAGAGCCUGAAUCAGCAUGUGUGUUAGUGGAAGCGUCUGGAAAGACGCGCGAUACAGGGUGACAGCCCCGUACACAAAAGCGUAUGUGCUGUGAGCUCGAUGAGUAGGGCGGGACACGUGGUAUCCUGUCUGAAUAUGGGGGGACCAUCCUCCAAGGCUAAAUACUCCUGACUGACCGAUAGUGAACCAGUACCGUGAGGGAAAGGCGAAAAGAACCCCGGCGAGGGGAGUGAAAAAGAACCUGAAACCGUGUACGUACAAGCAGUGGGAGCACAGGUUUACCUGUGUGACUGCGUACCUUUUGUAUAAUGGGUCAGCGACUUAUAUUCUGUAGCAAGGUUAACCGAAUAGGGGAGCCGGAGGGAAACCGAGUCUUAAUUGGGCGUUAAGUUGCAGGGUAUAGACCCGAAACCCGGUGAUCUAGCCAUGGGCAGGUUGAAGGUUGGGUAACACUAACUGGAGGACCGAACCGACUAAUGUUGAAAAAUUAGCGGAUGACCUGUGGCUGGGGGUGAAAGGCCAAUCAAACCGGGAGAUAGCUGGUUCUCCCCGAAAGCUAUUUAGGUAGCGCCUCGUGAAUUCAUCUCCGGGGGUAGAGCACUGUUUCGGCUAGGGGGUCAUCCCGACUUACCAACCCGAUGCAAACUGCGAAUACCGGAGAAUGUUAUCACGGGAGACACACGGCGGGUGCUAACGUCCGUCGUGAAGAGGGAAACAACCCAGACCGCCAGCUAAGGUCCCAAAGUCAUGGUUAAGUGGGAAACGAUGUGGGAAGGCCCAGACAGCCAGGAUGUUGGCUUAGAAGCAGCCAUCAUUUAAAGAAAGCGUAAUAGCUCACUGGUCGAGUCGGCCUGCGCGGAAGAUGUAACGGGGCUAAACCAUGCACCGAAGCUGCGGCAGCGACACUCAGGUGUUGUUGGGUAGGGGAGCGUUCUGUAAGCCUGCGAAGGUGGCCUGUGAGGGUUGCUGGAGGUAUCAGAAGUGCGAAUGCUGACAUAAGUAACGAUAAAGCGGGUA